This is a long non-coding RNA of Pollicipes pollicipes, 854 nucleotides long. RefSeq lists it as uncharacterized. The record is from RefSeq and is a predicted model, not a curated record. Lineage: Eukaryota; Metazoa; Arthropoda; Thecostraca; Pollicipedomorpha; Pollicipedidae. The transcript is spliced from 2 exons.
UCUCCACGUCGGUUCGUAACACUGGCUUCGGCAUCGUCAACUUCUGCGGGCGGAUGGCUGGGAUCGCCUAUCCCUUCGUAGCGCUGCUGAAUACUGUGAGGAAAGAUCUUCAUUUCUUCGUGUUUGGAGCGCUCAUCACAUCAUCGGCGCUGCUGGACCUGCUGCUGCCGGAGACAAUGGGAAAGCCGCUGCCAAAGACAGUUGGGGAAAUGGUCGGAGAAGAGGUGGAAAUGUAUCAAGCCUUGCAGCUUGACGAACUGGAGGACGAUUAUGACAGCGAUAGGAAUGCAAUGAAACCAAAUCAAGACUGAACAAAGAACGUAGGUGUUUUUGCCACAACACAUACACCGCCGUUAGGUGUGCUCUUGGCAAUUUUGUUACAUCGACAUGCAUCUCGCUAUUGCAAGCAAUGUACUCGGUUGGCCACGUCCAUAUUUUUAUCAUCUGUCGUCUGUGACAAACUCUUAAACACUUCGGUGUUGCAAUUUUUUCCUGACUAAAUGAUUGCGGUGGGUGUGCGGAACAGUGGACAAGGCCCACAUGUGAUCUGUACUUCUCGUUACCCUAGAUGUCUUUAAAUGACAUCUGGCCCUUGUGUUAAAUCCUGAACAAAUCAUUGAUAUGCUUUAUCGACUGUAAGCCCAGUGCAGUGGAAAAUAUGAAGCUUGUUAACACGCGCUCAGCCUUUCAGCAACCAUAGGCGUCAUUUCAGAACUCGCAUGAAGUGUCCCCACGUAGAAAAGCGCAACGGAAUGCGGGAUUGCGAUGCGGCGGUUCGUUGGGUCAACAUUUGUUGUUUGCUGUUUUCUGUGAUAAACUGUCGAGAUGUACUGCACCAUUGGUACACCAUUGGA